Bombyx mori (domestic silkworm) is the source of this 315-nucleotide long non-coding RNA. RefSeq lists it as uncharacterized. Lineage: Eukaryota; Metazoa; Arthropoda; Insecta; Lepidoptera; Bombycidae. The transcript is spliced from 2 exons. The record is from RefSeq and is a predicted model, not a curated record.
CUGAAAAGAUGUCUUUCAAUUUGCCUUUCUUCCUUGCAGUUUCUUGUUGCAGUCUGUAUACUGUUGUAACCCAUCAAAAAGCAGCACAAUAAAGUGAAAUGUAUAUGUUUGAAUCAAAAAUAAUUACGCAACAAGGACCAGCUGAAUGAAAACCCAAUAUUAUCAGACUUGCAACUAGACGUCUGGUAGUUAAGAGAGGCUCACAAAAUCGUAACAAAUUGCAUUUUACCUUCCAAAAGUCUGUGAAUUAGACUGUCAACAUUUAGUUCGUCAGCCAUAUUUACUACACGAAUAAAUUUAUGUCAAAAAGUCAAA